This 273-nucleotide small RNA is filed under the name uncultured Oleispira sp. Its description in RNAcentral is "5' ureB small RNA". It matches the Rfam family "5' ureB small RNA". Lineage: Bacteria; Pseudomonadati; Pseudomonadota; Gammaproteobacteria; Oceanospirillales; Oceanospirillaceae. The record is from RNAcentral.
CUUGCUGUGGGCAAAUAAAAUGGAUAUGUGCAUCAAUGGCACCCGCCGUUAAAAUUUGACCUUCGCCCGCAAUCACUUCAGUACCUGGGCCAACUUCAAUCGUAACGCCUGCCUGAGUAUCGGGAUUACCCGCUUUGCCAAUGGCUUGAAUGUAGCCACCGUUUAACGCAACGUCGGCUUUAAUAAUACCGCUAGCAUCUAAAAUCAAUGCGUUAGUAAUAACGGUAUCGGGUACUUUAUCGGAGGUUGCUUGACUCUGCCCCAUGCCAUCAC